Molecule: ribosomal RNA, 504 nt
Filed under: uncultured bacterium
Lineage: Bacteria
Description: partial 16S ribosomal RNA
Rfam family: Bacterial small subunit ribosomal RNA
Source: RNAcentral
GACGAACGCUGGCGGCGUGCCUAACACAUGCAAGUCGAGCGGCAGCGGGUCGUAGCAAUACGAUGCCGGCGAGCGGCGGACGGGUGAGGAAUACAUCGGAAUCUACCCAGUCGUGGGGGAUAACGUAGGGGAACUUACGCUAAUACCGCAUACGACCUGAGGGUGAAAGCAGGGGACCGCAAGGCCUUGCGCGAGUGGAUGAGCCGAUGUCGGAUUAGCUAGUUGGUGAGGUAAAGGCUCACAAAGGCGACGAUCCGUAGCUGGUCUGAGAGGGUGAUCAGCCACACGGGCACUGAGCCACGGUCCAGACUCCGACGGGAGGCAGCGGUGGGGAGUAUUGGACAAUGGGCGCAAGCCUGAUCCAGCCAUGCCGCGUGUGUGAAGAAGGCCUUCGGGUUGUAAAGCACUUUUGUCCGGGAAGAAAUCUUCCGAACUAAUACGUCGGGAGGAUGACGGUACCGGAAGAAUAAGCACCGGCUAACUUCGUGCCAGCCGCCGCAGUAA